Molecule: ribosomal RNA, 465 nt
Filed under: uncultured bacterium
Lineage: Bacteria
Description: partial 16S ribosomal RNA
Rfam family: Bacterial small subunit ribosomal RNA
Source: RNAcentral
CUACGGGUUGCUGCAGUGGGGAAUAUUGGACAAUGGGGGAAACCCUGAUCCAGCAAUGCCACGUGUGUGAAGAAGGCCUGCGGGUUGUAAAGCACUUUCGGUUGGGAGGACUGCUUCUAGCACUAAUAUUGUUGGAAGUUGACGUUACCUUCAGAAGAAGCACCGGCUAACUCCGUGCCAGCAGCCGCGGUAAUACGGAGGGUGCAAGCGGUAAUCGGAAUUACUGGGCGUAAAGCGCGCGUAGGCGGCUAGAUCAGUCGGGUGUGAAAGCCCCGGGCUUAACCUGGGAACUGCAUCCGAUACUGUCUAGAUUGAGUACAGGAGAGGAGAGUGGAAUUCCACAUGUAGCGGUGAAAUGCGUAGAUAUGUGGAGGAACACCAAUGGCGAAGGCAGCUCUCUGGCCUGAUACUGACGCUGAGGUGCGAAAGCGUGGGGAGCAAACAGGAUUAGAUACCCGAGUAGUC